RNAcentral lists this ribosomal RNA (334 nucleotides) under uncultured Bacillota bacterium. RNAcentral's name for it is "bacterial SSU rRNA". It matches the Rfam family "Bacterial small subunit ribosomal RNA", at positions 28 to 351 of the family's 1533-position model. The record is from RNAcentral. Lineage: Bacteria; Bacillati; Bacillota.
GACGAACGCUGGCGGCAUGCCUAAUACAUGCAAGUCGAACGAGCUGACAGAGUGCUUGCACUCUCGACGCGAGUGGCGGACGGGUGAGUAACACGUGGGAAACCUACCUGUAAGUAGGGGAUAACAUUCGGAAACGGAUGCUAAUACCCUAUAGGUUUCAGUUCCGCAUGGAACUGAAAGGAAAGACGGCUUUGCUGUCGCUUACAGAUGGUCCCGCGGCGCAUUAGCUAGUUGGUGGGAUAAAAGCUCACCAAGGCUUUGAUGCGUAGCCGACCUGAGAGGGUAACCGGCCACACUGGGACUGAGACACGGCCCAGACUCCUACGGGUGGCUG